AUGGCCAUGGCGGCGACAGCGGGGCUGUGGGCGGAGGUGCCGGUGCGGCUGGACUGGGCGACCGUGGCCGCGCAAUGUUCAUUGGCCGGGGAGCAAGCGCGGGCGUUCCUGGUGGUGCCGGCCCUGCGGCUGCUGGUGCUCCUGUCGCUGGCCAUGACCGUGAUGAUCCUGCUCGAGAAGCUCUUCGUCGCCGCCGUGUGCUACUCCGCCAAGGCCUUCAGGCACAGGCCCGAGAGCCGGUACCGGUGGCGGCCGAUCACCGCAUCAGCAUGCAAAACUGGCGGCGAUGACGAGGAGGACGGCAUUGUCGUCGUCGGCAGCGGCAGUGGCAGGGCGGCGUUCCCCGUGGUGCUGGUGCAGAUCCCCAUGUACAACGAACGCGAGGUGUACAAGGUGUCAAUCGGAGCGGCAUGCGCGCUGGAGUGGCCGUCGGACCGCAUGGUGAUCCAGGUGCUUGACGACUCCACCGACCCCGUUGUAAAGGAGUUAGUGAAGACCGAGUGCCAGAGAUGGAAGGGCAAAGGUGUGAACAUCAGGUACGAGGUCAGAGGAAACCGCAAGGGGUACAAGGCCGGUGCGCUCAAGCAAGGGCUGAUGCGCGACUACGUGCGGGAGUGCGAGUUCAUCGCCAUGUUUGACGCUGACUUCCAGCCUGAGUCUGACUUCCUCCUGCGGACCGUCCCCUUCCUUGUGCACAAUCCCGACAUUGCCCUCGUCCAGACUCGCUGGAAAUUCGUUAAUUCGGAUAAGUGUUUGUUGACAAGGUUCCAGGAGAUGUCAUUGGACUACCAUUUCAAGUUUGAGCAGGAGGCUGGGUCCAUAGUGUACUCGUUUUUUGGCUUCAAUGGAACAGCUGGUGUUUGGAGGAUCUCGGCGAUCAAUGAUGCCGGGGGGUGGGAGGACCGGACGACGGUGGAGGACAUGGACCUGGCUGUUCGUACAUCGCUGCUGGGCUGGAAGUUUGUGUAUGUAGGCGCCGUCAAAGUCAAGAGUGAGCUGCCAAGCACAUUCAAGGCAUACCGAUUUCAGCAGCACAGGUGGUCAUGUGGACCAGCAAACCUGUUCAAGAAAAUAUUGUUAGAUAUUCUAAAGAACAAGAAAGUGUCAUUUUGGAGCAAACUCCACCUGCUGUAUGACUUUUUCUUCGUUGGGAAGAUCGCUGCUCAUACAGUGACAUUCAUCUACUAUUGCUUUGCGAUCCCGGUGUCCGUUUUCUUCCCUGAGAUUCAGAUACCUCUCUGGGGUGUGGUCUACGUUCCAACUGUUAUCACCCUCUGCAAGGCUCUUGGAUCACCAAGUUCAUUUCAUCUGGUGAUCCUUUGGGUCCUCUUUGAUAAUGUGAUGUCAUUGCACCGGAUAAAGGCCACAAUAACUGGUCUUCUCGACACUAGACGAGUCAAUGAGUGGGUUGUCACUGAGAAAUUGGGAGAUGCCAACAAGACAGAGCCAGCCAUGGAAAGAUUAGAUGAUGUGCAAGUGAUUGAUGUCGAGCUAUCGACGCCCCUAGUACCAAAGCUCGAGAAGAGGCGAACACGAUUAUGGCACAAGUACAACUGCUCAGAGAUUUUUGUUGGAACCUUCAUAAUUAUAUGUGGAUGCUACGAUGUGCUUUACGCAAAGAAAGGAUACUACAUCUACCUCUUCAUUCAAGGCCUAGCAUUCCUCGUCAUCGGUUUUGAGUACAUUGGGACACGCCCUCCUAGCACUGAAUAA
RNAcentral lists this ribosomal RNA (1713 nucleotides) under Triticum aestivum (bread wheat). RNAcentral's name for it is "partial small subunit ribosomal RNA". Lineage: Eukaryota; Viridiplantae; Streptophyta; Magnoliopsida; Poales; Poaceae. The record is from RNAcentral.